This 1175-nucleotide long non-coding RNA is filed under the name Anser cygnoides (Swan goose). RNAcentral describes it as "lncRNA (ENSACDG00005019002.1)". The record is from RNAcentral. Lineage: Eukaryota; Metazoa; Chordata; Aves; Anseriformes; Anatidae.
GCCCCUCCCGGCAGGGGCUUCCUCCCGCCGCCGUGGGAGUGCCGCUCGUCCCGGGCUCCUUGUCCAGCCUCCCGCGGCGUGCCGUCCCGUAACGGCUUCGGCUCCCAGACCCCGUUCUGCCCCUGGAGGCCUCGCUCCAGGAGUUUCUAACUCAGUGUAGGUUUCUGCGUCUCUGCUGCUAUUCCAGGCGUCCUAAGCCCCUUAAUUCGUUCUUCCCAGCGCCUGUCAUUGUGCUCUUCUGUCCUAAAUAUAGGGUAGUAUGCCAACGGGAGAAGCUCGAGAGCGAGCCGAAGCGCCGGGAACGCCGCUGGUCGCUCAGAGAGGCGGUCAGCAAAGCGUCGCCGCUCCCAGGUCACGCUGGCUGUCCUCGUGCUGCAGGAAUUCCUGCGUCUUUCUUCGGGACCUGGCACGAAUUCUUGAACAACGAGGUGCUGGUGUGCAGGACGUGCCUGAAGCUUGCUGCUAGGUCGAGCACUGUUUGCAGCAGGCGGAGCAGCGCUGCUAAUCCGCUCCCCUCUCCUGUCUCUUACUGCCCGGUGUGCUGGGCUCGGCUACCACAGGAGAUGGAGCUGGACCCUUGGCAGGUACGGCGAGACCCCCAAGCGCUUGCGCUGUGAAAUGCAUGGCUGGAAUUGGCUCAAACCUGGCCGUAACUUAUCUUCCACGGGCGGCUGCUUUAGAGGAAUCCUCGCGUGUCUCCAGCCUUCAGAGUUAGGCCCUGGCAGCGAGGGAGGAUGUCGGGGGGAGCGCUGCGCCCUGCUCCGCGUGCACGGGGAAGCUGACGGUCGCAGCUGUGAGGAGAGGGGCUUCGGUGCUUUGCGCUGACCCCCAGGUCCCCCGGCAGGAGCAACGUGGCACAGCAGCAGGAGUGUUGCCUCGCUGCCUUUUCCGUGCUCCGGGGAGAAAUAAGGUGGGGUUGUCCUGGAGGGGGGCCGCUGUGCUGUGCCAGCCCAGGAGGAGCUGUGGCCGGCUCCUUUCGGCAGUGACUGCAAGUUUCAUUGCAGGGGUGAUUUUGGGUGGCUUGUGCCUUCCCUCCUGUGAGCUGAGGAAUAAUACGGAGGAAUUAAUUCCGGUAAUGGUUAAUUUGAACAAGGAAAAUGCAAACUCAAAGUUCUCCUUGGGCAAGCAGCAGUUGUGUAAAUAAAUGUCUCUGGCAUUCUUUGUGGUGCUCGUAG